RNAcentral lists this ribosomal RNA (492 nucleotides) under uncultured bacterium. RNAcentral's name for it is "partial 16S ribosomal RNA". It matches the Rfam family "Bacterial small subunit ribosomal RNA", at positions 29 to 507 of the family's 1533-position model. The record is from RNAcentral.
AGCGAACGCUGGCGGUAGGCCUAACACAUGCAAGUCGAACGGCAGCACAGUAAGAGCUUGCUCUUACGGGUGGCGAGUGGCGGACGGGUGAGGAAUACAACGGACUCUACUUUUUCGUGGGGGAUCACGUAGGGAAACUUAAGCUCAUACCGCAUACGACCUACGGGUGAAAGCAGGGGAUAUUCGGACCUUGCGCGAAUGAAUGAGCCGCUGUCGGAUUAGCUAGUUGGCGGGGUAAUGGCCCACCAAGGCGCCGAUCCGCAGCUGGUCUGAGAGGCUGAUCGGCCGCAUUGGAGCGGGGACAGGGACCAGAGUCCUACGGGAGGCAGCAGAGUGGAAUAGUGGGCAAUGGGCGCAAGCCUGAUCCAGCCAUACCACGUGGGUUAAGAAGGCCUUCGGGUUGUAAUGCCCGUUUGUGGGUAAAGAAAAGCAGCAGGUUAAUACCCCGCUGUUCUGACGGUACCCAAAGAAUAAGCACCGGCUAACUUCGUG